GGGUCAGUAGGGUGGUCGUGCCACCGGUACGUACUGGUCUCACUGAUUCCUCCUUCCUGAAGAACCGUAAUGCCAUUCAUUUGGUGUUGCGGGGAAACAGGACUGUUACUUUGAAAAAAUUAGAGUGUUUAAAGCAAGCUAACGCUUGAAUACAUUAGCAUGGAAUAAUGAAAUAGGACGAUCGAUCCUAUUUUGUUGGUUCCUAGGAUUGACGUA
This 216-nucleotide ribosomal RNA is filed under the name Glomeromycotina sp. RNAcentral describes it as "partial small subunit ribosomal RNA". The stretch from base 44 to 216 matches the Rfam family "Eukaryotic small subunit ribosomal RNA", at positions 690 to 864 of the family's 1831-position model. Lineage: Eukaryota; Fungi; Glomeromycota. The record is from RNAcentral.